GCCUUAAAUUCAGUGGUUGUCGUUUGUUUAUGUGUUACAUAUUUGUUAUUCGUUCAUUUUUUUAUAUAUAAAUAAGGACGUUAGUUUUCUCGUUUGAAUUGUUUUACAUUGUCAUUUAGGGGCCUUUUAUAGCUGACUAUGCGGUAUGGGCUUUGUUCAUUGUUGAAGGCCUUACGGUGACCUAUAGUUGUUAAUUUCUGUGUCAUUUUGAUCUCUUGUGGAGAGUUGUCUCAUUGGCAAUCAUA
RNAcentral lists this long non-coding RNA (245 nucleotides) under Mytilus galloprovincialis (Mediterranean mussel). Lineage: Eukaryota; Metazoa; Mollusca; Bivalvia; Mytilida; Mytilidae. The record is from RNAcentral.